RNAcentral lists this ribosomal RNA (309 nucleotides) under uncultured bacterium. RNAcentral describes it as "partial 16S ribosomal RNA". It matches the Rfam family "Bacterial small subunit ribosomal RNA", at positions 504 to 807 of the family's 1533-position model. The record is from RNAcentral.
AGAGACAGCAGUCGCCGCGGGAAAACGGAGGGAGCUAGCGUUAUUCGGAAUUACUGGGCGUAAAGCGCACGUAGGCGGCUUUGUAAGUUAGAGGUGAAAGCCUGGAGCUCAACUCCAGAAUUGCCUUUAAGACUGCAUCGCUUGAAUCCAGGAGAGGUGAGUGGAAUUCCGAGUGUAGAGGUGAAAUUCGUAGAUAUUCGGAAGAACACCAGUGGCGAAGGCGGCUCACUGGACUGGUAUUGACGCUGAGGUGCGAAAGCGUGGGGAGCAAACAGGAUUAGAUACCCCUGUAGUCCCUGUCUCUUAUAC